This 461-nucleotide ribosomal RNA is filed under the name Bacillus sp. (in: firmicutes). Its description in RNAcentral is "bacterial SSU rRNA". It matches the Rfam family "Bacterial small subunit ribosomal RNA", at positions 59 to 503 of the family's 1533-position model. The record is from RNAcentral. Lineage: Bacteria; Bacillati; Bacillota; Bacilli; Caryophanales; Bacillaceae.
AAGUCGAGCGANNCGAUGGGAGCUUGCUCCCUGAGAUUAGCGGCGGAUGGGUGAGUAACACGUGGGCAACCUGCCUAUAAGACUGGGAUAACUUCGGGAAACCGGAGCUAAUACCGGAUACGUUCUUUUCUCGCAUGAGAGAAGAUGGAAAGACGGUUUACGCUGUCACUUAUAGAUGGGCCCGCGGCGCAUUAGCUAGUUGGUGAGGUAAUGGCUCACCAAGGCGACGAUGCGUAGCCGACCUGAGAGGGUGAUCGGCCACACUGGGACUGAGACACGGCCCAGACUCCUACGGGAGGCAGCAGUAGGGAAUCUUCCGCAAUGGACGAAAGUCUGACGGAGCAACGCCGCGUGAACGAAGAAGGCCUUCGGGUCGUAAAGUUCUGUUGUUAGGGAAGAACAAGUACCAGAGUAACUGCUGGUACCUUGACGGUACCUAACCAGAAAGCCACGGCUAACUA